RNAcentral lists this long non-coding RNA (7972 nucleotides) under Amborella trichopoda. Its description in RNAcentral is "long non-coding RNA (ATRI_LNC001348)". Lineage: Eukaryota; Viridiplantae; Streptophyta; Magnoliopsida; Amborellales; Amborellaceae. The record is from RNAcentral.
AAAGAAGAAAAAUUUAAUUGUGUUUUUAAUUUCUUGAUGUAUGCCCUUUUUGUUACUAAACACAAUUCAUGCUUCACCUUCAUCGCUCGUUGUGUCUAUGCACAUGAACAGGCUGUGUAUGUGAUAUACUUCCCUUCCCAACUGACAAAGUGGUUGUCACAAAAGAUUUGCCAAGAUUUAAAAGGUCAAGGGGGAUAUUAAAGGUGAUCUAACUAUAGGAUCUUUGUACACACAUAUGUGUACAAAGAUGGACCAAGAACCGGACCUAGUUCAAGUCGAUCCACCACCGACCUGAUCCAAUUGCCAACCCUAUCCUAAACGCGUAAAUGUUCCUAGGGAUUACUCUAGGCAAUCUAUUUAUAUUGAAGUACAUUUUGGGAAAAGUAUUUCUUAUGAAAUAGAUUUCAGCUGUUUGAAUGCUACAUGGAUGUAUAACAUUUUCAUUUUUUUUUCAAAAAAUUCAUUAAAUAUUUUUAUUAUAUUAUUCAUUAUAAUGUCUUUUUUUUUAAUUAAAUUUAUGGUAGUUUCUCUCUCUAAAUAUUUGAGGUAAUAAAUCUCUAAAAUAUUUCAAAUAGUUUCUCUCUCUAAAAUUUGAUAUAGUUUCUCUCUCUUUAAAACUUAAAAUUUGAGAUAGUUUUUUACUCUAAAUUUUUUAAGAUAGCUUCUCUCACUAUGAAUGUUUAAGUACUUUCCCUCUCUAAAAAUUAAAAUUUGAAAUAGUUUUUGUCUAAAAAUUUUAAGUACUUUGUCUUUCUAAAAUUUGAUAUAGUUUCUCUGUAACGUUUUAAGGUACUUUUAUUUCUAAAACUUAAAAUAUGAGAUAGUUUCUCUCUCUAAAAAAUUUGAGAUACUCUUUAUAAAACUUAAAAUUUGAUAUAGUUUCUCUAUCUAAAAAAUUAAAAACAGUUUCUCUUUCUAAAAAUUUUCAAAUACUUUUUUUAUCUAAAAUUUAAAAUUUGAGAUAGUUUUUCUCUUUAAAAUUUUUGAUAUAGUUUCUCUCUCUAAAAUUUUGAGGUAUUUUCUCUCUCUCUAUAAAUUUUCAAGUACUUUAUCUCUCUAAAACAUAAAAUUUAAGAUAUUUCUUUUGAUAUAGUUUAUCUUUUUAAAUUUUUUGAGAUAUUUUUUUCUUCUGAAAAUUUUCAAUUACUUGCUCUCUCUAAAACUUAAAAUUCGAUAUAGUUUCUCUCUCUAAAAUUUGAUAAAUUUUAGAUAGUUUUUCUCUCUAAAAUAGAUAUAAUUUCUUUCUAAAAUUUUAAUAUACUUUCUCUCUCUAAAACUUAGAAUUUGAGAUAGUUUCUUUCUCUAAAAUUUUUGAAAUAAUAACUCUCUCUAAAAAAAGUUUAGUACUCUUUCUAAAACUUAAAUUUGAUAUAAUUUAUCUCUCUCUAAGAAUUUUCAGGUACUUUCUCUUGAUAAAACUUAAAAUUUGAGAUAAUUUUUCUCUUUAAAAAAAUUGAUAUAGUUUUUCUCUUUAUAAAUUUUCAAGUACUUUCUCUGUUUAAAACUCAAAAUUUGAGAUAGUUUUUCUCUUUAAUUUUUUUUGAGAUGGUUUCUCCCUCUAAAACUUUUUUUAUAUCGCCGUCUCUAAAAUUUGAUAUAGUUUCUCUCUCUAAUAUUUUAUGAUAUUCUCUUUAAAACUUAAAAUUUGAAAUAGUUUAUCUUUAUAAAAAUUAUAAGAUAAUUUUUUUCCAAAAAAAUUUGGAUAGUUUCUUUCUCUAAAAUUAGAAAUAGUUUGCUUCUCUAAAAUUUUAAAAUACUUUCUAUGUCUGAAAUGUAAAAUUUGAGGUAGUAUCUCUCACUAAUUUAAGGUCGUGUUUUUGUGAAAUUAAUUUCGGAGGGUAAAAACAAUCAUACAAUUUUAUUUAUUUUUAGGAUGAAACGAAGAAAGACGAAAAUAUAUUUCAGUCCCAAAAUUUCGAUGCAAACCCUAGAAAUGUGUCAUUUCCCCUCAAAUACAUUAUAAAAUGUAUUUCUUAAGUAUCCAAACGGCCCCGAUGGUUUUACAUGACGGUGGGAACAGAGUGUACAUGCCACCGCGGGAGUAAAAAAUAUUUUUUAACUCUCUUCAACUGAUACUAUAAAUAGUCCCGCCUAUUAAGCCUUCAGACUAGAAACGAAGUUUUGUUACUCUUAAGUCUUACUCAAGCCCAUGUAGAUGAUCAUUUUAAGAUCUUUUUCCAGGUAUUUUUUUUGUCACUCAGUAAUUUCGAUUGUUUUUUUCUGGGUAUUUGAUCUCUAUAAUGGAAAAUCUCAGCAUUUUUGGAAGAUAUUAUUUCUCUUCCUUUCUUUUAUUUUCUUUCUACUUUUUCCUUCGUUUGUUUUGUGGAAUUUUGAAUUGGAAAUUAAGGUUACCUUUGCUCCGAUUGUGACUGAAAAAUUCAAAAAACAUUUGGUGGGUUUUUUAGUGUAAGUUGAACUGCAUGAUCAUUGAUCAUCUCUCUCUUUCUCUCUCUCUGAAGUAAUGUUCCUGUAUUACUUUUAUGAUGUUGGAAAAGGAACACCAUUUUCCAUUGCUUUGAUGUGUUAUGGCUCCCGAUUUACAAACAAAAGGUCUUCGCAUAUUCUGUUUGGAGUUUUUUGAGUAAAUAAGCUUAUGAGUCUUUUGCAUUAUUUCUUCCAGAGUGGAACAAGUAUCAAAGGUUUCAAAAGUUAUUUAUGAAUUACCAAAGCUUGUAAGCUCAUUUCAGGUAUUGAAAGAAGACUUAAUUUUGCUUUUCCUUUUUUUUUUUUAUUAAUUACUUUGAAAGUAGCCUUCUUUGGUGUUAUAUCUUUGCUUUAAUGCAGAUAGUCAAACUUUCAACUGCAUAGAUAAUUGGGAAAAGGGAAAUUUAUCAAAAUGCACCGAGAUGAACUAUUUAGCAGUUUCUGGUCUUUAAUUUAAUUUUGAAAAGUCCAUCAAAAUGCACACGAUCAUGAGUUGGAAUAGCUGAGAAAAGGGGUAAAAUGUCCAACAAUCGAAAAGCUAGGUGUAUUUAGAUAAAUUUCCCUUGGGAAAUUAAUCUUAUGGUGCAUAAAAUUCGCAUGUCUUUGGCAUGCAUUACACUAUAGAUAAUUGCCAUUCUUCUUGUUACGUUUACAUGACCAGAUUAUGUCAUCCAUUUCAGGGUUUUUGCCAUUGUAAUUAGUUUGAAGAAAGGAAUGGCGUUGUAAAUAUAAAAUUUGCUUUUUAAUUAUGCUUUCUAUUGUUGUUUUCCUCUUCAUUUUACUGUUUAUGUAUAUGCUAGGGUUCCAAUUACUAUGGCAAAGUUUGUUUGAGGAAAAUGGGGGAUAUGAAGGAUGUAGUGAAUGCAAUGGAUCAGAGCAAGAAGAGGAGAGCUGUGAGAGCAGUUUGGAUGCCGCUCAGUGCUCACUUGAGUUCUUCGGAAGGUUGGUUUCUUUCUAUUCUCUACUAUGGUUAUGUGUUCAGGGAGAAUUUUGAAUGAGAAAUGAGAAAACUUGGAAGAUAUUUCGCAUUUAUUGAGUGUUGUCAUUUGAAUGCUGCAUUUACUAUGCAUGGCGUCUUUUUUUUUUAUUUCCCCUUUUUCUCUUUUAUUUUAUUUUAUUUUAUUUUAAAGUUUUUAUCAUUAUUAUGGAAACAAAUUCAAUUGUGAGUUGUUCAUCAUUGUCUGGGUUCUUUCUAGAAACCAUUUUGGUUUACAAGUUCUUCUAUUUUGUGAUGAUGUGAAGUUUUUCUUUUUCCUUUUUAUUAAUGUACUAUUAUUGCUGAUUUAAUAAGUAACUCAAGAGAUACCUAUAAAUACAGAAUCUCCAUGGGUACUCCUAACAAUGAAUCCCCAUCUGGAGACCCAUAUGGAGAAAGGACAUCUAUGUAUACAUACUAAAGCUCUGUAUCCAAUGAACAGAUGUUCUCUAGAAUCCCUUUACGCUUGUCAGCUCUACAUCUCACCUUUCUGAUCUCUUGUUCUCCUAUGGGUGCUAUGGACAGGGCAUCUGUAUUUAUUUUUGUGCACUAUCUUCAAUUCCCAAUCCCUUUAUUCAAUUACAACUCUCUUUCUCUUAUGAUAAUAAUUGCCUGUAUUUAGCUGACCCCAACUAGUUGGGUUAAGGCUCGGAUGAUAAUGAUGAUGAUGAUCUUACUCUAGAAAUUCUAUUAUUACUCUGUCUCCAUGGCCCAAAAGAUAGCUAGAGGAAUUAUCGCUGGCGUAGAGUGGCCAAAAUCCCAAGAAAAAAUACAGCCCGUAUGGACUCUAGUAGUGCCCCUGGACCAUAGAGACCUAAAAUAUGAACCUAAAACCCUGUUCCAUGAAUGAUCUAAUAAAUUGCAACCAUCCGCUAGAAAGAUUGCUCAUCAUGCCAAGCCUAUUAAUGCUCACCUUCUUUUCUCUACAACUCCUUUCUACUGUCUAUAUAUCAUUCUCUUGUGGAACACUUAGGUUUCGUGUGAUUUUUGGAAUUGCUGAGUGUUCCUAUGGGACUGUGUAUGUGUGUGUGUGUACACACAUAUUUGGGUGAGGUUUAUAUAAGGCACCCCCCUUAUACUAUAUAGGUAAGGUGCGCCUCUAAAUUUUACCCAAAGAUGUAGUUCUUAAGUUGGAAACCUUAUGAUGCCUUGAAAAUCCAUGUUCCAACCCUAAUUAUGAAAUUUAAAAUUUCGAAAAUGUUACAAAUUGAGCAUAUCUAUAAACACUUGAAAAUCUUGAAAAUAGACAAUAACUUGAUAGAAGAUGCACUAUUUUUAGGACUUGAAAUUCUUUUUUUCUUUAUAUCUUGAUAUGAUCAAUUGGAAGGUUUUCCAACUUCGGAAAGCUCUUUUCUAUUGGAUCUUUGUGGUGCAUGUUACUUCUAUAGUACAAGGUUGCAACCUUAUAUAAACUGUUUCCUAUAUAUAUAUUAUUUUUGACAACGUCCUAUUUUCUCAUUUUACAGACUUGGGAAUCGAUAAAUCCAUAUUUAUCAAUCCAAAAACAUUUCAUUUGACUGUUCUCAUGCUUAAAUUGUGGAAUGAGGAACGCGUUGCUACAGCUGCUGAGGUUUUACAGGUAGAGGAUCAAUCCAUUCAAAAGUAUCAUAUGUACUAAUGGUAGGAGUUCCAAGGUUAUGAUUUUUUUGCUGAUACAUGCAGAAAGUCUCUCCAAAAGUGAUGAACGCUUUGAAAGACCAUCCAAUUUCCAUCAGGUUGAAAGGGUUGGUAUGUUUAUUUUAUUUUUUCCUUUUACUUCUACUCAAAAGUUCACGAUUUCCUUUCCUUUUCUUUCUUUUAUUUUGUUUUAUUUUUGUUUUUGGUGGCGGGGGAUGUAUGUAUUAUCAUUCAAUGAAUCCCUGAGUUUGAUGUUUCGAUUAUAUUUUCCUCAAGAUUAGCAUGUUGCUUCAUGUACCAGGUGAAGGCAGUAGGGCGUUAAAUAAAAAACUGAUGAGUAAGAAAAAAAAACUUAACCAUUUGAAGGGUUUACCUAUUAUUAAUGAUUUCUUGGUCUCAAGCAUUGCCCUAUAAUGGUCCAUUCUUUUUUUAAUAGGUUUCUCAUAUGUUAAUGUGUUUUCAUAAUCUUUUGUUGAAGCUUAGUUUCCUUGUGUCAGAUGUUUGCUCAUAAUUUUUUAUUGUUGGGUAAUGUUCCUUGUAGUGUUUGUUCUCAACACCUCAUCUUUACAAUGUAAUGUAUUAGAGGCACUGCUGCACUGAGUCGUAUUCACUUCGACUAUCUAAAUGCUUGCAAUGAUUUAUUGUCUAGCAUAAUUUUAUUAGGAUUUUCUUACGGAUGAACUUUGUAUUUUCAGUAGUUUUGUCAUGACAUGGUUUGAACUUGAAGCUACGCUAAACUAGUUUGUAUAUCAUGCAGUUAAUGCAAUAACGUUUCCUAGUUCAAGUUCUGAGCUAGAAUAGGAAUUUGCUUCGGCACUGGAUGAUUUUUUCCCCUCAUUUCUCUGCAUGGAUUUUACUAUUUAGGUUUAAAAUAGCUGGAUUAUGAUGUUUUUUGAGAGAUUGCUUGGUUUUGUUGGUCUCGUAUAUAUUGAGAUUUUGCUGUUUCUUACAUUUUCCUUCUAAUAGUUAGUUGAAUGAGGCAAAUUACUUCUCAAGUGGAGUUAAUGUUGUAUGUAAUAAUAUGUUGAAAAUGAUGGAUCACUGAAAUCCUUAUAAAUAAAGAUUCUAAUGGCUAGUAAUGAUGCCUUUUCCUUGUUUAAUCUUUUGAUGGGUCUUGGGGCCUCAUAGAAUCACACUACCCUUAAUUUUCUUGAUUAUUGUAUUGCAUGUAGUUUUUGUGAUAUCACUUAGAUUUGCAGAUAUUCUCAAUCUCCAGUCUUGGAUGACUUCAUGUUAGUGUGUGUGUAUGAGGUGAAUUUUCAGGAAGUGCAUUGUUUCUCUCAUGUACAGGACUGCAUGAGAGGUUCAGUUUCAGAAGCCUGUGUUUUAUAUACUCCAGUUGAGGAGAUUGGUGGCGAGGGUCGCUUGAUGCGGGCUUGUCGUAUCCUGAAUAUAUGUAUAAUGUUUUUGUUUUUACCCCCCUUCAGAAGUUAUAUACAAUAUAUUUAUAAUAUUUCCAGUGCAACUUUAUGGAUAAUUGUCACCGAAAUAAUUAGUACACUAACUUUUUCCUUUUUCUUAAUUUUUUCUUUCUGAUGUUAUAUUUGAAUUUUCCUUUCUUGCUGAUUUUCUUGAGCUUUCCAUAGAAGUCAUUAUUGAUGCCUAUGUGAAAGCUGGCCUUGUUCUCCAGAAGGAUGCGUGCCAAAAGUUGAAGGUAUUGUAUUUUUUAUCCUAGUAUGAUCUGUGGCACCUUGUAAAAUGACUCAAUGUUAUAAUAGUUUUGAUAGUGGUGUUAUUUCUGUUUCUUAAAUUUUUAUUUCUUUUGCAAUGUUCUUUGGAGACAUUCAACUUAAUAGCUAUGUUCAUUAGGUCUGUAUUGUAGACUUCCAAUCUAGUGCACUAUUAUCAUCCAUGUAAAAUAAUUGUAAGAUUUACUUUGAAACCGAGUCACUGUUAUUUCUUUUUCUUGAAAACUGGGGGCUUUUCUAAGGUUUCCUCUAAUGGGAUUUUUUUAAGAUCGUAGCAUUAGGGUGGUGAUACAUUCCACUACUAUGAUUUAGGUCUGUUAAAAUAAUCAUAAAAAAUAACCAAAAGGAUAUCUAGAAAAUGGAAAAAAAAAAUACAGAAAACAGAACAUUAAGUGGUAAUGAUUAAAUUAGCUUUUUUUUUGCAGUUGCAUGGGACAGUCAUGAAUGUAAAGUUUAGGAAAAGGUACUUUUAUGUCUUCUCUUCCGUCUAUUGUCAUUUUGGGAAACUAUACCGGGGGAGUCUUUUGUGGUACAUGGUGCACAGCUGGACCAUCCACAGAUCAUUCACAAAAACGGAUGGUAGAGAUCAACUAAAAGCUACCUAUGAUGGACACAUUUAGAUUUAAUCUGCACCUUCCAUUGUGGAGAAUGGUCAGUGGAUGCCCCAGAUGUGUAUCGCGUACAGGCUGUAUAUAUAUGCUUUCCUUUUUAGCUUUGAUAAUAGAUUUUGCACCGUCAAAGUUUGGAAAAGGAAUGGUAAAACCCAUAUUUGAUAAAUUUGCAAUUGCGCGUCAUUACUGUCGCUGUUUAGGACGACGAGAACGAGGAAGAUCGGUUCCUUUGAUGCUCGCGACAUUUUCGAACGAUAUGGGUCUGAAGAGUGGGGUGAGUAUGUGAUUGGUGAGGCGCAUUUAUCGCAUUUACAUGUUCAAUAAGUGUUUUUAUUGGGUAGUUUUUGAAUUAGGAUUUUGUCUCUUACUGUAUGGAUUGUUAAUCAGAUUAUGCAAUUAUUUUAUUUUCAAAGAAGAAAAAUCUAAUUGUGUUUUUCAUUUCUUGAUGUAUGCCCUUUUUGUUGCUAAACACAAUUCAUGCUUCACCUUCAUCGCUCAUUGUUGGGAACCUUUGUGGAUGCCCUGUCUAUGCACAUGUACAGGCUGUGUAUGUGAUAUACUUCCCUUCCCAACUAACAAAGUGGUCGUUACAAAAGAUUUGCCAUGUUUUUGAUCAAGAUUUAUAAGGUCAAGGGGGAUAUUAAAAGUAAUCUGAU